UGGGGAAUAUUGGGCAAUGGGCGAAAGCCUGACCCAGCGACGCCGCGUGGGUGAUGAAGGCCUUCGGGUUGUAAAGCCCUGUCAUGCGGAAAGAACAGUCCUGUGGCUAAUAUCCACGGGAUUUGACGGUACCGCAGGAGGAAGCACCGGCUAACUCCGUGCCAGCAGCCGCGGUAAUACGGAGGGUGCAAGAGUUGUUCGGAAUUAUUGGGCGUAAAGGACGCGUAGGCGGUAAUGAAAGUCAGAUGUGAAAUACUUCGGCUCAACUGAAGAACUGCAUCUGAAACUUCAUAACUAGAGUACAGAAGAGGGAAACGGAAUUCCCGGUGUAGAGGUGAAAUUCGUAGAUAUCGGGAGGAACACCAGUGGCGAAGGCGGUUUCCUGGUCUGAUACUGACGCUGAGGCGUGAAAGUGUGGGGAGCAAACA
This 428-nucleotide ribosomal RNA is filed under the name uncultured prokaryote. Its description in RNAcentral is "bacterial SSU rRNA". It matches the Rfam family "Bacterial small subunit ribosomal RNA", at positions 355 to 774 of the family's 1533-position model. The record is from RNAcentral.